This 294-nucleotide long non-coding RNA is filed under the name Vicia faba (fava bean). The record is from RNAcentral. Lineage: Eukaryota; Viridiplantae; Streptophyta; Magnoliopsida; Fabales; Fabaceae.
AUGUCAUCGCUCGUGUUUUUCUCCAGGAAGGAACCGAAAAAUUCGUCAUUAAUUAUUGUGACUUUAAGAGAGAUGAUGCAGAUUACAUGUUAUGAGAAGAACAAUAACAGGUAUCAUAGUUAUUUGAGACUGAGGGUACGAAAUGAUUCUUGGAUUGCUUCGGUUCAAUUAGUAAGCAUCGAUGACCACAUGUAUCCAAAUUUUAUUGAUGUGAUGCAAUGGUUGGCCGAGAGCAACCUGCUUGAAAUGAUUGUUGAUAAAUUAAGCCCAUUUGCCGUGCGCAAAUUGGUGUAG